RNAcentral lists this ribosomal RNA (433 nucleotides) under uncultured bacterium. RNAcentral describes it as "partial 16S ribosomal RNA". It matches the Rfam family "Bacterial small subunit ribosomal RNA", at positions 29 to 507 of the family's 1533-position model. The record is from RNAcentral.
AACGAACGCUGGCGGCAUGCCUAACACAUGCAAGUCGAACGAGACCUUCGGGUCUAGUGGCGCACGGGUGCGUAACGCGUGGGAACCUGCCCUUAGGUUCGGAAUAACUCCCCGAAAGGGGUGCUAAUACCGGGUAAUGUCUUCGGACCAAAGAUUUAUCGCCUUUGGGUGGGCCCGCGUUGGAUUAGCUAGUUGGUAGGGUAAAAGCCUACCAAGGCGACGAUCCAUAGCUGGUCUGAGAGGAUGAUCAGCCACACUGGGACUGAGACACGGCCCAGACUCCUACGGGAGGCAGCAGUGGGGAAUAUUGGACAAUGGGCGAAAGCCUGAUCCAGCAAUGCCGCGUGAGUGAUGAAGGCCUUAGGGUUGUAAAGCUCUUUUACCCGGGAUGAUAAUGACAGUACCGGGAGAAUAAGCGCCGGCUAACUCCGUG